GGGUUGUGAGGUUAAGCGACUAAGCGUACACGGUGGAUGCCCUGGCAGUCAGAGGCGAUGAAGGGCGUGCUAAUCUGCGAUAAGCGCCGGUAAGGUGAUAUGAACCGUUAUAACCGGCGAUACCCGAAUGGGGAAACCCAGUGUGACUCGUCACACUAUCAUUAACUGAAUCCAUAGGUUAAUGAGGCGAACCGGGGGAACUGAAACAUCUAAGUACCCCGAGGAAAAGAAAUCAACCGAGAUUCCCCCAGUAGCGGCGAGCGAACGGGGAGGAGCCCAGAGCCUGAAUCAGCAUGUGUGUUAGUGGAAGCGUCUGGAAAGGCGCGCGAUACAGGGUGACAGUCCCGUACACAAAAGCGCACAUGCUGUGAGCUCGAUGAGUAGGGCGGGACACGUGGUAUCCUGUCUGAAUAUGGGGGGACCAUCCUCCAAGGCUAAAUACUCCUGACUGACCGAUAGUGAACCAGUACCGUGAGGGAAAGGCGAAAAGAACCCCGGCGAGGGGAGUGAAAAAGAACCUGAAACCGUGUACGUACAAGCAGUGGGAGCACCCUUUGGGG
This 560-nucleotide ribosomal RNA is filed under the name Salmonella enterica. Its description in RNAcentral is "partial 23S ribosomal RNA". It matches the Rfam family "Bacterial large subunit ribosomal RNA", at positions 1 to 591 of the family's 2925-position model. RNAcentral also lists the same sequence under 1 other name. Lineage: Bacteria; Pseudomonadati; Pseudomonadota; Gammaproteobacteria; Enterobacterales; Enterobacteriaceae. The record is from RNAcentral.